Molecule: unclassified non-coding RNA, 524 nt
Filed under: Microcystis aeruginosa DCM4
Lineage: Bacteria; Bacillati; Cyanobacteriota; Cyanophyceae; Chroococcales; Microcystaceae
Description: partial contains 16S ribosomal RNA, 16S-23S ribosomal RNA intergenic spacer, and 23S ribosomal RNA
Rfam family: Bacterial small subunit ribosomal RNA (bases 1-119)
Source: RNAcentral
GUAAGGUCGUGAGUCAUUACCUCACCGCAAGGAGGGGGAUGCCUAAGGCAGGGCUAGUGACUGGGGUGAAGUCGUAACAAGGUAGCCGUACCGGAAGGUGUGGCUGGAUCACCUCCUUAAAGGGAGACCUAAUUCCAGUAGGAGACGAAAAAAAAGUAGUCCCUACCAAGAAUCAAUCCCAAAAGGUCGGAGCGAGGCAAAAUUGGCUUUCAAACUAGGUUCUGGGUUCACACAAGACCUGAAUCAGGAACAAGGGCUAUUAGCUCAGGUGGUUAGAGCGCACCCCUGAUAAGGGUGAGGUCCCUGGUUCGAGUCCAGGAUGGCCCACCUGCACAGGUGGAAGAAAGAAAAGAAGCUCCGAAUCAGCACCUUAUCUUACUUAUAUAGUAAGAGAGAAUGCUGGCUCUGAGUACAGAGUCCAGAGGAACCUUGAAAACUGCAUAGAGCUAGGUGAAAAAGCCAAAAAAGAAGACCGCAAGGUCAAGCUAAUAAGGGCUAACGGUGGAUACCUAGGCACACAGAGA